CCGGCGACCGGCGCACGGGUGAGUAACACGUAUGCAACCUGCCCUCUUCAGGGGGACAACCUUCCGAAAGGGAGGCUAAUCCCGCGUAUAUCGGUUUCGGGCAUCCGAGAUCGAGGAAAGAUUCAUCGGAAGAGGAUGGGCAUGCGGCGCAUUAGGCAGUAGGCGGGGUAACGGCCCACCUAACCGACGAUGCGUAGGGGUUCUGAGAGGAAGGUCCCCCACACUGGUACUGAGACACGGACCAGACUCCUACGGAAGGCAGCAG
Molecule: ribosomal RNA, 265 nt
Filed under: uncultured bacterium
Lineage: Bacteria
Description: partial 16S ribosomal RNA
Rfam family: Bacterial small subunit ribosomal RNA
Source: RNAcentral